ACUCCUACGGGAGGCAGCAGUGGGGAAUAUUGCACAAUGGGCGCAAGCCUGAUGCAGCCAUGCCGCGUGUGUGAAGAGGACGCUUCGGGUUGUAAAGCACUUUCAGUUGUGAGGAAAGGUUAGUCGCUAAUAUCGGCUAGCUGUGACGUUAGCAACAGAAGAAGCACCGGCUAACUCCGUGCCAGCAGCCGCGGUAAUACGGAGGGUGCGAGCGUUAAUCGGAAUUACUGGGCGUAAAGCGCGUGUAGGUGGCUUGUUAAGCCAGAUGUGAAAGCCGCCCAGGCUGA
RNAcentral lists this ribosomal RNA (287 nucleotides) under uncultured bacterium. Its description in RNAcentral is "partial 16S ribosomal RNA". It matches the Rfam family "Bacterial small subunit ribosomal RNA", at positions 335 to 611 of the family's 1533-position model. The record is from RNAcentral.